AGGACGAACGCUGGCGGCGUGCUUAACACAUGCAAGUCGAGCGGAAAGGCCCUUCGGGGUACUCGAGCGGCGAACGGGUGAGUAACACGUGAGUAAUCUGCCCCUAGCUCUGGGAUAGCUCCGGGAAACCGGGAUUAAUACCAGAUACGACCACUUUAGACAUCUGCUGUGGUGGAAAGAAUUUCGGCUAGGGAUGAGCUCGCGGCCUAUCAGCUUGUUGGUGAGGUAACGGCUCACCAAGGCGACGACGGGUAGCCGGCCUGAGAGGGCGACCGGCCACACUGGGACUGAGACACGGCCCAGACUCCUACGGGAGGCAGCAGUGGGGAAUAUUGCGCAAUGGGCGAAAGCCUGACGCAGCGACGCCGCGUGGGGAUGAAGGCCUUCGGUUGUAAACCCUUUCAGCGAGGACGAAGCGAAAGUGACGGUACCUGCAGAAGAAGCGCCGGCUAACUACGUGCCAGCAGCCGC
RNAcentral lists this ribosomal RNA (471 nucleotides) under uncultured bacterium. RNAcentral's name for it is "SSU rRNA". It matches the Rfam family "Bacterial small subunit ribosomal RNA", at positions 26 to 518 of the family's 1533-position model. The record is from RNAcentral.